AAGCGGCAACAGCUCAAAUUUGAAAUCUGGCCCUCGGGUCCGAGUUGUAAUUUGUAGAGGAUGCUUUUGGUGCGGUGCCUUCCGAGUUCCCUGGAACGGGACGCCAUAGAGGGUGAGAGCCCCGUCUGGUUGGACGCCAAGCCUCUGUAAAGCUCCUUCGACGAGUCGAGUAGUUUGGGAAUGCUGCUCUAAAUGGGAGGUAUAUGUCUUCUAAAGCUAAAUAUUGGCCAGAGACCGAUAGCGCACAAGUAGAGUGAUCGAAAGAUGAAAAGCACUUUGAAAAAGAGAGUUAAAAAGCACGUGAAAUUGUUGAAAGGGAAGCGCUUAUGACCAGACUUGGGCUUGGUUGAUCAUCCGGCGUUCUCGCCGGUGCACUCUUCCGGUCCAGGCCAGCAUCAGUUUGCUCCGGGGGAUAAAGGCUUUGGGAAUGUGGCUCCCUCGGGAGUGUUAUAGCCCAUUGUGCAAUACCCUGGAGCGGACUGAGGUACGCGUUCUGCAAGGAUGCUGGCGUAAUGGUCAUCAGUGGACCCGUCUUGAAACACGGACCAAGGAGUCGUCUUCGUAUGCGAGUGUUCGGGUGUUAAACCCCUACGCGUAAUGAAAGUGAACGCAGGUGAGAGCUUCGGCGCAUCAUCGACCGAUCCUGAUGUUCUCGGAUGGAUUUGAGUAAGAGCAUACGGGGCCGGACCCGAAAGAAGGUGAACUAUGCCUGUGUAGGGUGAAGCCAGAGGAAACUCUGGUGGAGGCUCGCAGCGGUUCUGACGUGCAAAUCGAUCGUCAAACAUGGGCAUGGGGGCGAAAG
This 802-nucleotide ribosomal RNA is filed under the name Volutella consors. RNAcentral describes it as "eukaryotic LSU rRNA". It matches the Rfam family "Eukaryotic large subunit ribosomal RNA", at positions 96 to 929 of the family's 3401-position model. The record is from RNAcentral. Lineage: Eukaryota; Fungi; Ascomycota; Sordariomycetes; Hypocreales; Nectriaceae.